Molecule: ribosomal RNA, 631 nt
Filed under: Amorphus orientalis
Lineage: Bacteria; Pseudomonadati; Pseudomonadota; Alphaproteobacteria; Hyphomicrobiales; Amorphaceae
Description: bacterial SSU rRNA
Rfam family: Bacterial small subunit ribosomal RNA
Source: RNAcentral
ACGCACCUUCGGGUGAGUGGCAGACGGGUGAGUAACGCGUGGGAAUCUACCUAUCGGUUCGGGAUAACCUCCGGAAACGGAAGCUAAUACCGGAUACGCCCCUUGGGGGAAAGAUUUAUUGCCGAUAGAUGAGCCCGCGUUGGAUUAGCUUGUUGGUGAGGUAACGGCUCACCAAGGCGACGAUCCAUAGCUGGUCUAAGAGGAUGAUCAGCCACACUGGGACUGAGACACGGCCCAGACUCCUACGGGAGGCAGCAGUGGGGAAUAUUGGACAAUGGGCGAAAGCCUGAUCCAGCCAUGCCGCGUGAGUGAUGAAGGCCUUAGGGUUGUAAAGCUCUUUCGCUAGGGAAGAUAAUGACGGUACCUAGUAAAGAAGCCCCGGCUAACUUCGUGCCAGCAGCCGCGGUAAUACGAAGGGGGCUAGCGUUGUUCGGAAUUACUGGGCGUAAAGCGCGCGUAGGCGGCUCAUUAAGUCAGGGGUGAAAUCCCGGGGCUCAACCUCGGAAUUGCCUUUGAUACUGGUGAGCUUGAGUCCGAGAGAGGUGAGUGGAACUCCGAGUGUAGAGGUGAAAUUCGUAGAUAUUCGGAAGAACACCAGUGGCGAAGGCGGCUCACUGGCUCGGUACUGACG